This 491-nucleotide ribosomal RNA is filed under the name uncultured bacterium. RNAcentral's name for it is "bacterial SSU rRNA". It matches the Rfam family "Bacterial small subunit ribosomal RNA", at positions 28 to 523 of the family's 1533-position model. The record is from RNAcentral.
GAUGAACGCUAGCGGAAGGCUUAAUACAUGCAAGUCGAGCGGUAGGUGGCUUCGGCCAUUGAGAGCGGCGCACGGGUGAGUAACGCGUACAUGACCUGCCUGUCAGAAGGGGAUAGCCCUGGGAAACUGGGAUUAAUACCCUAUGGUAUUGAUAUUAUGAAUGAUAUCAAUUAAAGUUGAGGCGCUGACAGAUGGAUGUGCGUCUGAUUAGCUAGUUGGUAGGGUAACGGCCUACCAAGGCGACGAUCAGUAGGGGGCGUGAGAGCGUGGUCCCCCACACGGGUACUGAGACACGGACCCGACUCCUACGGGAGGCAGCAGUAAGGAAUAUUGGUCAAUGCCCGCAAGGGUGAACCAGCCAUUCCGCGUGGAGGAUGAAGGCCCUAUGGGUUGUAAACUUCUUUUAGAUGGGAAGAAAUGCUAGAUGUAUCUGGUACUGACGGUACCAUCAGAAUAAGCACCGGCUAACUCCGUGCCAGCAGCCGCGGUAA